Molecule: ribosomal RNA, 366 nt
Filed under: uncultured bacterium
Lineage: Bacteria
Description: bacterial SSU rRNA
Rfam family: Bacterial small subunit ribosomal RNA
Source: RNAcentral
AUCAACGCUGGCGGCGUGCUUAACACAUGCAAGUCGAACGUGAAAGUAGCAAUAUGAGUAAAGUGGCGUACGGGUGAGUAACACGUGGGUAAUCUACCUUAGAGUCUGGAAUAACCUGCCGAAAGGCGGGCUAAUACUGGAUAGAUCAAGCGCAUUAUAAAGGUGCGAUUGGGAAAGGGAGCUCGUAAGAGCCUUCGCUUUAGGAUGAGCCCGCGUCUGAUUAGCAGUUGGUAAGGUAAUGGCUUACCAAGGCGACGAUCAGUAGCUGGUCUGAGAGGAUGAUCAGCCACACUGGAACUGAAACACGGUCCAGACUCCUACGGGAGGCAGCAGUGGGGAAUCUUGCGCAAUGGACGAAAGUCUGAC